RNAcentral lists this ribosomal RNA (402 nucleotides) under uncultured bacterium. RNAcentral's name for it is "partial 16S ribosomal RNA". It matches the Rfam family "Bacterial small subunit ribosomal RNA", at positions 355 to 774 of the family's 1533-position model. The record is from RNAcentral.
UGGGGAAUAUUGCACAAUGGGCGAAAGCCUGAUCCAGCCAUGCCGCAUGAGUGAAGAAGGCCUUUGGGUUGUAAAGCUCUUUUAGUGAGGAAGAUAAUGACGGUACUCACAGAAGAAGUCCUGGCUAACUCCGUGCCAGCAGCCGCGGUAAUACGGAGAGGGCUAGCGUUAUUCGGAAUUAUUGGGCGUAAAGGGCGCGUAGGCUGGUUAAUAAGUUAAAAGUGAAAUCCCGAGGCUUAACCUUGGAAUUGCUUUUAAAACUAUUAAUCUAGAGAUUGAAAGAGGAUAGAGGAAUUCCUGAUGUAGAGGUAAAAUUCGUAAAUAUUAGGAGGAACACCAGUGGCGAAGGCGUCUAUCUGGUUCAAAUCUGACGCUGAAGCGCGAAGGCGUGGGGAGCAAACA